AUGUGGAAUACACAAGCGAAGAUGAACCUCCACAGAUGGCAGCAGUCCUGUAGUUGUGCAUCGAGGAAUUCUGCUUGGUGUACCACAUCACAACAGCCACAAAAUGGCCCAAGCGCCUCAAACAAUUCCUGCAUGAGGAGAAAUUGUACACAUUUGUCAGUUUUAGCAUUGGAGGCGACAAGCGGAUGCUGGAUAAGUCUGGUUUGGAGAUCAAUCCCAACAACUCCAUCGACAUGCAGUGCAAGUGGAAAGUUCCAACCACCAACAAAUACUAUGACUCCUUGGCCGAUGUUGUGGGGCGACAUCAUCCACCCAUUCUACAAAGGCAUGAAGAAGAAGAUCGAGAAGAAGGAAGACCACAAACUGUGGGGGACCAGCCCGCUGCCAGACAAGCUCAUCGAGUACGCAGGAAUAGAUGCGUAUGCCACGUGCAAGUCAUGGAAGACAAUUGAAAACAUCAUGAAAGGUUGGGACAUUUCAAAAGAGAAGGAGGUUGACCCCUACUACCACUGCAACUUCGCGGGAUGA
This 528-nucleotide ribosomal RNA is filed under the name Triticum aestivum (bread wheat). Its description in RNAcentral is "partial small subunit ribosomal RNA". The record is from RNAcentral. Lineage: Eukaryota; Viridiplantae; Streptophyta; Magnoliopsida; Poales; Poaceae.